Molecule: non-coding RNA, 918 nt
Organism: Nelumbo nucifera (sacred lotus)
Lineage: Eukaryota; Viridiplantae; Streptophyta; Magnoliopsida; Proteales; Nelumbonaceae
Source: RefSeq, a predicted model, not a curated record
CUCUGAUUCUCGGUUUCAACCAUACUUUCUGCUUCGGUAUUUAGCGAUGGGUGGAAAUUGGAUUUGGAAUGUUCGGCAUGAUCAAAAUUCAAAACAUCUGCCUCAUGCAGCUUCUGCUUCUCGAUGAAUACAUGAAGAAGAGAGGCUCCGAGGUGAUGAAGAAUUGGAGAUGAGCCUGAGACGGGUAGCGGUGAAGGCUGUUAAUCCCAUUCCAUAUCGAAAUCAAAAGGCUUCUUGUCCUCCUCGACUUCUCAGGUAUCUUCAUGACCGAGAGGUGGCAGCCGAGAUGGUCUAUGAGGUGAAAAAGAAUCAACAAGAUAUGUUGAUUGAGAAUAAGGAGGAGGAUAUUAACAAAGACAACCAGUGGGCAGCUGAAAAUUUUCUCCCGCCACCGGAGAAGCCGUUGCUGGGGGACUGCUGCGGCAGCGGCUGCAUUCGAUGCGUCUGGGAUGUGUACCACGAAGAACUCGAGGAUUAUAACAAUCGCUACAGGAAAUAUUCUCAAUUUCAAUUGAAGAAAUCCAAAUAAAAUUCCAGUUAAGGGGCGAUUUUCUUGCAAUCUGAAACAUAAACCGGCAAGCGAAGAUGUCGUUGAAAUAGGACUGGUCACCACCACCAUCACAAGUGGAAGAAGCUAUUUUCUCAGCGAGUAUUUGUUAUGAUUUUCGUAUUCGUCAUUAUAGUUUUGUUACUGAUGGUCAUGAUUUGUGGACUAACCUUGGACUGGUUCUACAGUAAAUCCUUUAGGCCAUCAAUUACUUCAUGCCAUUGGUUUGUUGCAAUUUUGUUGCUGAUGGUCAUGAAAAUGCAGACAGAAAACCUGCAGAAUAGAUUUACAUGUGGAAAGAUCAACUUAAGGUGAAUGGGUGGAUGAUGGAAUGAAGUACAUUCUUCACACUUGAUACAAGUUCUAGCUGA